RNAcentral lists this non-coding RNA (24 nucleotides) under Arabidopsis thaliana (thale cress). Lineage: Eukaryota; Viridiplantae; Streptophyta; Magnoliopsida; Brassicales; Brassicaceae. The record is from RNAcentral.
GGACAUGUCUCGGGUACGAAACCC